Molecule: ribosomal RNA, 467 nt
Filed under: uncultured bacterium
Lineage: Bacteria
Description: partial 16S ribosomal RNA
Rfam family: Bacterial small subunit ribosomal RNA
Source: RNAcentral
ACGAACGCUGGCGGCGUGCUUAACCCAUGCAAGUCGAACGGAAAGGCCCUGCUUUUGUGGGGUGCUCGAGUGGCGAACGGGUGAGUAACACGUGGGUAACCUGCCCUUGACUUUGGGAUAACUUCAGGAAACUGGGGCUAAUACCGGAUAGGAGCUCCUGCUGCAUGGUGGGGGUUGGAAAGUUUCGGCGGUUGGGGAUGGACUCGCGGCUUAUCAGCUUGUUGGUGGGGUAGUGGCUUACCAAGGCUUUGACGGGUAGCCGGCCUGAGAGGGUGACCGGCCACAUUGGGACUGAGAUACGGCCCAGACUCCUACGGGAGGCAGCAGUGGGGAAUAUUGCACAAUGGGCGGAAGCCUGAUGCAGCAACGCCGCGUGCGGGAUGACGGCCUUCGGGUUGUAAACCGCUUUCGCCUGUGACGAAGCGUGAGUGACGGUAAUGGGUAAAGAAGCACCGGCUAACUACGUG